AAGUCGUAACAAGGCCUCCGUAGGUGAACCUGCGGAGGGAUCAUUACAGAGUUCAUGCCCUUCGGGUAGAUCUCCCACCCUAUGUUUACAUACCUUUGUUGCUUUGGCAGGCCCGUUCAGUCCUGUACUGAACCACCGGCUCCGGCUGGUCAGCGUCUGCCAGAGGAUCUCAAACUCUGAUUGUUAGUGAUGUCUGAGUACUAUAUAAUAGUUAAAA
Molecule: unclassified non-coding RNA, 217 nt
Filed under: plant metagenome
Description: partial contains small subunit ribosomal RNA and internal transcribed spacer 1
Rfam family: Eukaryotic small subunit ribosomal RNA (bases 1-46)
Source: RNAcentral